CCCUUAGAUGUUCUCGGCCGCACACGCGCUACACUGAAAGAGGCAACGUGUUUGCCUGAUUCGAAAGAAUUGGGUAACCCCCUAAUCUCUUUCGUGCUGGGGAUUGAGGUUUGCAAUUAUCCUUCAUGAACGAGGAAUUCCCAGUAAGUGCGAGUCAUUAUCUCGCGCUGACUACGUCCCUGCCCUUUGUACACACCGCCCGUCGCUACUACCGAUUGAAUGAUUUAGUGAGGACUUCGGACUGAGUCCAAUGCGGCUUUCGGGCUGCGUCGGUAUUCUGGAAAGAUGUCCAAACUGUAUCAUUUAGAGGAAGUAAAAGUCGUANCA
Molecule: ribosomal RNA, 327 nt
Filed under: uncultured eukaryote
Lineage: Eukaryota
Description: partial 18S ribosomal RNA
Rfam family: Eukaryotic small subunit ribosomal RNA
Source: RNAcentral